AGAGUUUGAUCCUGGCUCAGGAUGAACGCUAGCGGAGGCUUAAUACAUGCAAGUCGAGCGGCAAGGUCUUCGGACCCUAGAGCGGCGGCACGGGGUGAGUAACGCGUACGCAAUCUGCCCUUCAGUGAGGAAUAGCCCUGGGAAACUGGGAUUAAUACCUCAUAAUAUUAAUUGUCUGCAUGGAUGAUUAAUUAAAGUUCUGGCGCUGAAGGAUGAGUGUGCGUCUGAUUAGCUAGUUGGUAGGGUAACGGCCUACCAAGGCGACGAUCAGUAGGGGGGCGUGAGAGCGUGACCCCCCACACGGGUACUGAGACACGGACCCGACUCCUACGGGAGGCAGCAGUAAGGAAUAUUGGGCAAUGGAGGCAACUCUGACCCAGCCAUCCCGCGUGAAGGAUUAAGGCCCUAUGGGUUGUAAACUUCUUUUGUUUGGGAAGAAAUCUGGACAUUUAUGUGCAGUUGACGGUACCUUACGAAUAAGCACCGGCUAACUCCGUG
Molecule: ribosomal RNA, 498 nt
Filed under: uncultured bacterium
Lineage: Bacteria
Description: bacterial SSU rRNA
Rfam family: Bacterial small subunit ribosomal RNA
Source: RNAcentral